AGGGAAUCUUCCACAAUGGACGAAAGUCUGAUGGAGCAACGCCGCGUGAGCGAAGAAGGCCUUCGGGUCGUAAAGCUCUGUUGUUAGGGAAGAACAAGUAUCGGAGUAACUGCCGGUACCUUGACGGUACCUAACCAGAAAGCCACGGCUAACUACGUGCCAGCAGCCGCGGUAAUACGUAGGUGGCAAGCGCUGUCCGGAAUUAUUGGGCGUAAAGCGCGCGCAGGCGGUCCUUUAAGUCUGAUGUGAAAGCCCACGGCUCAACCGUGGAGGGUCAUUGGAAACUGGGGGACUUGAGUGCAGAAGAGGAAAGCGGAAUUCCACGUGUAGCGGUGAAAUGCGUAGAGAUGUGGAGGAACACCAGUGGCGAAGGCGGCUCUCUGGUCUGUAACUGACGCUGAGGCGCGAAAGCGUGGGGAGCAAAC
RNAcentral lists this ribosomal RNA (425 nucleotides) under uncultured bacterium. RNAcentral's name for it is "bacterial SSU rRNA". It matches the Rfam family "Bacterial small subunit ribosomal RNA", at positions 356 to 773 of the family's 1533-position model. The record is from RNAcentral.